Molecule: ribosomal RNA, 967 nt
Filed under: termite gut metagenome
Description: bacterial SSU rRNA
Rfam family: Bacterial small subunit ribosomal RNA
Source: RNAcentral
AGAGUUUGAUUCUGGCUCAGAUUGAACGCUGGCGGCGUGCCUAACACAUGCAAGUCGAACGAAGCAUGGGAGCUUGCUCCUGUGACUGAGUGGCGCACGGGUGAGUAACACGUGGAUGAUCUACCCAUCAGUUCGGAACAACAGUUGGAAACGACUGCUAAUACCGGAUACGAUCUUUUUUCGCAUUUAAGGUGAAAGGGGGCCUCUGCAAAUGCUCCCGCUGAUGGAUGAGUCCGCGCCUCAUUAGGUAGUUGGUAGGGUAACGGCCUACCAAGCCGACGAUGAGUAGCCGGCCUGAGAGGGUAAUCGGCCACACUGGGACUGGAACACGGCCCAGACUCCUACGGGAGGCAGCAGUGGGGAAUAUUGCGCACGAAAGUCUGACGCAGCGACGCCGCGUGAGGGAUGAAGGCCUUCGGGUCGUAAACCUCUGUCAGGAGGGAAGAACAAGCCACGUGCUAAUCAGCGUGGCCCUGACGGUACCUCCAAAGGAAGCACCGGCUAACUCCGUGCCAGCAGCCGCGGUAAUACGGAGGGUGCGAGCGUUAAUCGGAAUUACUGGGCGUAAAGCGCGCGUAGGCGGCUUUGUAAGUCAGAGGUGAAAUCCCACGGCUCACCCGUGGAACUGCCUUUGAUACUGCAUUGCUUGAGUGUGUGAGAGGAUGGCGGAAUUCCAGGUGUAGGAGUGAAAUCCGUAGAGAUCUGGAGGAACAUCAGUGGCGAAGGCGGCCACCUGGACUGACACUGACGCUGAGGUGCGAAAGCGUGGGUAGCAAACAGGAUUAGAUACCCUGGUAGUCCACGCCGUAAACGAUGGGUGCUAGGUGUUGGGGAUUUAAUCUUCGGCGCCGCAGCUAACGCGAUAAGCACCCCGCCUGGGGAGUACGGUCGCAAGGCUGAAACUCAAAGAAAUUGACGGGGGCCCGCACAAGCGGUGGAGUAUGUGGUUUAAUUCGAUGCAACGCGA